This 468-nucleotide ribosomal RNA is filed under the name uncultured bacterium. Its description in RNAcentral is "partial 16S ribosomal RNA". It matches the Rfam family "Bacterial small subunit ribosomal RNA", at positions 28 to 507 of the family's 1533-position model. The record is from RNAcentral.
GACGAACGCUGGCGGCGUGCUUAACACAUGCAAGUCGAACGGAAAGGCCCUGCUUUUGUGGGGUUCUCGAGUGGCGAACGGGUGAGUAACACGUGAGUAACCUGCCCUUGACUUUGGGAUAACUUCAGGAAACUGGGGCUAAUACCGGAUAGGAGCUCCUGCUGCAUGGUGGGGGUUGGAAAGUUUCGGCGGUUGGGGAUGGACUGGCGGCUUAUCAGCUUGUUGGUGGGGUAGUGGCUUACCAAGGCUUUGACGGGUAGCCGGCCUGAGAGGGUGACCGGCCACAUUGGGCCUGAGAGACGGCCCAGACGCCUACGGGAGGCAGCAGUGGGGAAUAUUGCAGAAUGGGCGGAAGCCUGAUGCAGAAACGCCGCGUGCGGGAUGACGGCCUUCGGGUGGUAAACCGCUUUCGCCUGUGACGAAGCGUGAGUGACGGUAAUGGGUAAAGAAGCAACGGCUAACUACGUG